RNAcentral lists this ribosomal RNA (540 nucleotides) under Triticum aestivum (bread wheat). RNAcentral's name for it is "partial small subunit ribosomal RNA". Lineage: Eukaryota; Viridiplantae; Streptophyta; Magnoliopsida; Poales; Poaceae. The record is from RNAcentral.
AUGAAUCCCACUUCCAACGUGUUUAUUUCUAGUAAUUUAAUUUUGGCCUUUCCCACUCUCAGCGCCGACGACGUGCCCCGCCUCAGCUACCUCCAGUGCAUCAUCAACGAGACGCUACGCCUGUACCCGGCGGCGCCGCUGCUGCUGCCGCACGAGUCCUCCGCCGACUGCAAGGUCGGCGGCUACGACGUGCGGAGCGGCACCAUGCUGAUCGUGAACGCGUACGCCCUCCACAUGGACCCGGCUGUGUGGGAGGACCCGACGGCGUUCCGCCCGGAGCGGUUCGAGGACGGCAAGGGCGACGGGCUGCUGCUGAUGCCGUUCGGGAUGGGGCGGCGGAGGUGCCCCGGCGAGGCGCUGGCGCUGCUGACGGUCGGGGUGGUUCUCGGGACGCUGGUGCAGUGUUUCGACUGGGACCGGGUGGACGGCGUGGAGGUGGACAUGACGGAGGGGGUGGGGAUCACCAUGCCCAAGGCCGUGGCUUUGGAGGCCGUGUGUAGGCCGCGCGCGGCCAUGCGCGAUGUUCUUCAGAAGCUCUGA